UAAGGUAGCGAAAUUCCUUGUCGGGUAAGUUCCGACCUGCACGAAUGGCGUAACGACUUCCCCGCUGUCUCAAAUGUGGACUCAGCGAAAUUGAAUUGUCUGUGAAGAUGCAGACUUCCCGCGGUUAGACGGAAAGACCCCAUGCACCUUUACUACAACUUCGCACUGGCAUCAGGAUUGCGAUGUGCAGGAUAGGCGGUAGGCUUUGAAGCGGGGACGCCAGUUCCCGUGGAGCCAUCCUUGAGAUACCGCCCUUCGCACUCUUGAUGUCUAACCGCGGCCCGUUAUCCGGGUCCGGGACCCUGCGUGGUGGGUAGUUUGACUGGGGCGGUCGCCUCCCAAACAGUAACGGAGGCGCGCGAAGGUUGGCUCAGAGCGGUCGGAAAUCGCUCGUUGAGUGCAAUGGCAGAAGCCAGCCUGACUGCAAGACUGACAAGUCGAGCAGAGUCGAAAGACGGCCAUAGUGAUCCGGUGGUCCCGAGUGGAAGGGCCAUCGCUCAACGGAUAAAAGGUACGCUGGGGAUAACAGGCUGAUGAUGCCCAAGAGUCCAUAUCGACGGCAUCGUUUGGCACCUCGAUGUCGGCUCAUCUCAUCCUGGGGCUGGAGCAGGUCCCAAGGGUAUGGCUGUUCGCCAUUUAAAGAGGUACGUGAGCUGGGUUUAAAACGUCGUGAGACAGUUUGGUCCCUAUCUUCCGUGGGCGCUGCAGAUUUGAGGAAGCCUGCUCCUAGUACGAGAGGACCGGAGUGGACACACCUCUGGUGUAUCGGUUGUCACGCCAGUGGCAUUGCCGAGUAGCUAAGUGUGGAAGAGAUAACCGCUGAAAGCAUCUAAGCGGGAAACUCGUUUCAAGAUGAGAUCUGCCGGGGCCUUGAGCCCCCUGAAGAGUCGUUCAAGACCAGGACGUUGAUAGGCUGGG
Molecule: ribosomal RNA, 918 nt
Filed under: uncultured Isochrysis
Lineage: Eukaryota; Haptophyta; Isochrysidales
Description: partial Bacterial large subunit ribosomal RNA
Rfam family: Bacterial large subunit ribosomal RNA
Source: RNAcentral